GCUUACGGCCACACCUCCCUGAGCGCGCCCGAUCUCGUCUGAUCUUGGAAGCUAGGCAGGGUCGUGCCCGGUUAGUACUUGGAUGGGAGACCGCCUGGGAAUACCAGGUGCUGUAAGUC
This 119-nucleotide ribosomal RNA is filed under the name Esox lucius (northern pike). Lineage: Eukaryota; Metazoa; Chordata; Actinopteri; Esociformes; Esocidae. The record is from RNAcentral.